RNAcentral lists this unclassified non-coding RNA (211 nucleotides) under plant metagenome. Its description in RNAcentral is "partial contains small subunit ribosomal RNA, internal transcribed spacer 1, and 5.8S ribosomal RNA". The record is from RNAcentral.
UUUCCGUAGGUGAACCUGCGGAAGGAUCAUUCACAAUAAAGUGUUUUAUGGCACUUUUUAAAAAUUCAUAUCCACCUUGUGUGCAAUGUUAGAUCUCGUCAAUCUUGGCGAGAUUUUUAUACAUCAACUCAUUCUUUAACUAAUUUGUCUGAAAAAUAUUAUGAAUACUUAAUUCAAAAUACAACUUUCAACAACGGAUCUCUUGGCUCUC